CUACGGGGUGCACCAGUGAGGAAUUUUGCGCAAUGGGGGAAACCCUGACGCAGCAACGCCGCGUGAGCGAAGAAGGCCCUCGGGUCGUAAAGCUCUGUCAAGUGGGAAAAAAAUUUUUUGAUCAAUAGUCAAAAGACUUGAUGGUACCACUGGAGGAAGCACCGGCUAACUCCGUGCCAGCAGCCGCGGUAAUACGGAGGGUGCAAGCGUUGUUCGGAUUUACUGGGCGUAAAGAGCGUGUAGGCGGUUUAGCAAGUCAGAUGUGAAAGCCCUGGGCUCAACCCGGGAAGUGCAUUUGAAACUGCUUCACUAGAGUAUGGGAGAGGAGAUUGGAAUUCCUGGUGUAGAGGUGAAAUUCGUAUAUAUCAGGAGGAACACCCGUGGCGAAGGCGAUUCUCUGGACCAAUACUGACGCUGAGACGCGAAAGCGUGGGGAGCAAACAGGAUUAGAUACCCCCGUAGUC
This 464-nucleotide ribosomal RNA is filed under the name uncultured bacterium. Its description in RNAcentral is "partial 16S ribosomal RNA". It matches the Rfam family "Bacterial small subunit ribosomal RNA", at positions 339 to 795 of the family's 1533-position model. The record is from RNAcentral.